RNAcentral lists this unclassified non-coding RNA (344 nucleotides) under soil metagenome. RNAcentral describes it as "partial contains 5.8S ribosomal RNA, internal transcribed spacer 2, and large subunit ribosomal RNA". The stretch from base 1 to 120 matches the Rfam family "5.8S ribosomal RNA", at positions 35 to 154 of the family's 154-position model. The record is from RNAcentral.
GAUGAAGAACGUAGUGAAAUGCGAUAAGUAAUGUGAAUUGCAGAAUUCAGUGAAUCAUCGAAUCUUUGAACGCACAUUGCGCCCGCCAGUAUUCUGGCGGGCAUGCCUGUUCGAGCGUCAUUUCAACCCUCAAGCCCCCGGGCUUGGUGUUGGGGAUCGGCGUGCCCUCGCGGCGCGCCGUCCCCUAAAUCUAGUGGCGGUCUCGCUGUAGCUUCCUCUGCGUAGUAGCAACACUCGCACUGGAUCGCAGCGCGGCCACGCCGUUAAACCCCCCACUUCUGAAAGUUUGACCUCGGUUCAGGUAGGAAUACCCGCUGAACUUAAGCAUAUCAAUAAGCGGAGGA